AAGGUGAUGAUCCACUUCACAUUGAUCUGAAGGUGAUGACCCACUUCACAUUGAUCUGAAGGUAUUGAUUUACUAAUCCUGAUCUGAAAGUGUUGAUUCACUUAACAUUGAUCUGAAGGUGUUGAUCCACUAACCCUGAUCUGAAGGUAUCGAUCCACUAACCCUGAUCUGAAGGUGUUGAUUCACUAACCCUGAUCUGAAAGUGUUGAUUCACUUCACAUUGAUCUGAAAGUGUUGAUUCACUUCACAUUGAUCUGAAAGUGUUGAUUCACUUCACAUUGAUCUGAAGGUAUUGAUUCACUUCACAUUGAUCUGAAGGUGUUGACCCACUUCACAUUGAUCUGAAGGUAUUGAUUCACUAAUCCUGAUCUGAAAGUGUUGAUUCACUUAACAUUGAACUGAAGGUGGCGAUCAACUAAACCUUGAUAUGGAAGAAUUGAUUCACCUCGUGGUUUAAAGAUGUGUCUAAUUGUGCUAUGUUCGUCUGAAAAAUAUCAAAUGUUGUUAAAUAAUAAAAUGUUAAUUAAAAUCU
Molecule: long non-coding RNA, 532 nt
Organism: Pecten maximus
Lineage: Eukaryota; Metazoa; Mollusca; Bivalvia; Pectinida; Pectinidae
Exons: 2
Source: RefSeq, a predicted model, not a curated record